UAGUGCAUACACAGCGCAUAGUCCAUAUACAUAGUGCAUACACAAGCACAUAGUCCAUAUACAUAGUGCAUACAUCACAUACAUAGUGCAUACACAGCGCAUAGUCCAUAUACAUAGUGCACACACAAGCACAUAGUCCAUAUACAUAGUGCAUACACAGCGCAUAGUCCAUAUACAUAGUGCACACACAAGCACAUAGUCCAUAUACAUAGUGCACACACAAGCACAUAGUCCAUAUACAUAGUGCACACACAAGCGCAUAGUCCAUAUACAUAGUGCAUACACAGCGCAUAGUCCACAUACACAGUGCAUACACAUAGCGCAUAGUCCACAUACAUAGUGCACACACAAGCACAUAGUCCAUAUACAUAGUGCAUACACAGCGCAUAGUCCAUAUACAUAGUGCACACACAAGCACAUAGUCCAUAUACAUAGUGCACACACAAGCGCAUAGUCCACAUACAUAGUGCAUACACAUAGCGCAUAGUCCACAUACAUAGUGCACACACAAGCGCAUAGUCCACAUACAUAGCGCAUAGUCCACAUACAUAGUGCACACACAAGCGCAUAGUCCACAUACAUAGUGCAUAGUCCAUAUACAUAGUGCACACACAAGCGCAUAGUCCAUAUACAUAGUGCAUACACAGCGCAUAGUCCAUAUACAUAGUGCAUACACAUAGCGCAUAGUCCACAUACAUAGUGCAUACACAGUGCAUAGUCCAUAUACAUAGUGCACACACAAGCGCAUAGUCCAUAUACAUAGUGCAUACACAGCGCAUAGUCCACAUACAUAGUGCAUACACAGCGCAUAGUCCAUAUACAUAGUGCAUACACAGUGCAUAGUCCAUAUACAUAGUGCACACACAAGCGCAUAGUCCAUAUACAUAGUGCAUAUACAUAGUCCACAGUCCAUAUUCAUAGUGUAUAGGGCUCUUGAUUCAGGGCUUUAAAAUGUGGCUUAUAAUUUAAAAACGUUUAAGACAAAAUAUAUUUUAUUACAAUCAACAGAGAAAGGGCAGGAUAUACAUUCUCUUAGGUUGAAAAAAGCAGUCAGUUCCUUUUUUUUUUUAGCUGUAUAGUAUUAUAGAUUAAACUUUUAGAAAAAAAGUAAAAAUAUGUAUAGUUUUGUUCAUGGCAUAGACUUUAAAAAGUCAAUGUUCAGCAUAGUCUGAGAAGUUGGGGGUGACGAUAUGCAUCUCUGUCACGUUUGUGCUGCUUUGCCCUGAGGGGGCUCUGUCAUCUCAGUAGCAAGGUCUCCCAUCUCUCUGAAUGUGCUGUCACUAUGGUAAAAGAAAAGGCACUCAUCUCUUUCCC
Equus asinus (donkey) is the source of this 1314-nucleotide long non-coding RNA. The record is from Ensembl. NCBI's taxonomy places the organism in Eukaryota, Metazoa, Chordata, Mammalia, Perissodactyla, Equidae.